AGCGAACGCUGGCGGCAGGCUUAACACAUGCAAGUCGAACGGGCAUCUUCGGAUGUCAGUGGCAGACGGGUGAGUAACACGUGGGAACGUACCCUUCGGUUCGGAAUAACUCAGGGAAACUUGAGCUAAUACCGGAUACGCCCUUUUGGGGAAAGGUUUACUGCCGAAGGAUCGGCCCGCGUCUGAUUAGCUUGUUGGUGGGGUAACGGCCUACCAAGGCGACGAUCAGUAGCUGGUCUGAGAGGAUGAUCAGCCACACUGGGACUGAGACACGGCCCAGACUCCUACGGGAGGCAGCAGUGGGGAAUAUUGGACAAUGGGCGCAAGCCUGAUCCAGCCAUGCCGCGUGAGUGAUGAAGGCCUUAGGGUUGUAAAGCUCUUUUGUCCGGGACGAUAAUGACGGUACCGGAAGAAUAAGCCCCGGCUAGCUUCGUG
Molecule: ribosomal RNA, 435 nt
Filed under: uncultured bacterium
Lineage: Bacteria
Description: partial 16S ribosomal RNA
Rfam family: Bacterial small subunit ribosomal RNA
Source: RNAcentral